GAGGGUAUAGAUAGUGGUAGAGUACAUGCUUAGUAUGCAUGAGGUCCUGAGUUCAAUCCCCAGUAUCUCCA
Molecule: transfer RNA, 71 nt
Filed under: Camelus bactrianus (Bactrian camel)
Lineage: Eukaryota; Metazoa; Chordata; Mammalia; Artiodactyla; Camelidae
Also listed under: 2 other names
Rfam family: tRNA
About the family: Transfer RNA (tRNA) molecules are approximately 80 nucleotides in length. Their secondary structure includes four short double-helical elements and three loops (D, anti-codon, and T loops). Further hydrogen bonds mediate the characteristic L-shaped molecular structure. tRNAs have two regions of fundamental functional importance: the anti-codon, which is responsible for specific mRNA codon recognition, and the 3' end, to which the tRNAs corresponding amino acid is attached (by aminoacyl-tRNA synthetases). tRNAs cope with the degeneracy of the genetic code in two manners: having more than one tRNA (with a specific anti-codon) for a particular amino acid; and 'wobble' base-pairing, i.e. permitting non-standard base-pairing at the 3rd anti-codon position.
Source: Rfam by way of RNAcentral